ACAAAUUUCCCAAUUUAUUUUUUUUAAUACUAUUUUAUAGAUUUAUGUAGAUAUUUUUUUUUGUGUCGAAACGUCCAUCAUUAGAGGAGCAAGGGUACUAUAGCAUAAAUUAGGAAAUAUUGAAUCCGAGCCGGAUGAGAAUGAGGCAGUAGACAAAGUCUGCCUAUCUCUCACACUAAAAGAGAUAUGUGGCCAUUGAACAAGACCAGACGACCAAAUUACAAACACCACAUCAAAGUACAAAGAUGCAGAAAAGUUAACAAUAACUUACUUUAAUAUCCUUAAUUAGAAAAAAAAAAAAAAAAAAAACUCAAACUACAACCUACAACAAAGUAGAAAGAAGUAGAAAAAGAGACUUAACCAAGUUCCAACUGGUUAAUUAAGAGAUAUGAAGGCAACACUGAGUGAUCCAGGAACCCCUCAAUGUUGGUUAAUUUUGCCCAUAUUGCCAAGUUGUGUGCCGAUAGAGUUCUGAAUUCCUUUUUAAAAGGGGGAAACGAGAACGUCGUUUCAUGAUUCUCUCUGUUAAACAGUGAUUAAUAAUGGUCUUUGAUCUAAUUACAUAAUUAGUUACAAUAUGCUUUUUUAUCUUUACAAUUGAGGCUAUAUACGGUUAUAACAUAUUCUGUUAUGCUCUUGGAAUUGAUGAGCCAAGACUAUAAAUGCACCAUGUUUUUCAUUUGGUAAUUCAAGGAAUACAAAACAUUUAUUUCCUGCACUAUUGUUUUUAUAUUCUAUCAUGGUAUCAGGCCAUUAACAACAGCAUGACUUCUAGUACGACUGAGUCUGGAGGCUCCACACCUCCCGAUCCCCCACAGCCACCUCAGGUUUCACAACUCAACCCUGACACCUCUACCGUCCCUAGCCCUGUGUCCUUUUCUCUACCCACUUCUCUUUCUCAAACCACUACUCUUCCUUCUUUACCCUCAGUCAAUCAACCCUUAGGUGUAAAAUUGGAUGACAGCAACUUUCUUGUCUGGAAGCAUCAACUCUUAAAUAUUGUUAUUGCAAAUGGCCUUGAAUCCUUUCUUGAUGGCUCUUACCUCUGUCCUUCUUUCACAGAUGUUGCUUGCUCUUAGCCCAAUCCGGAGUAUCAUCAAUGGCAGCAGUACAACAGGCUUGUCAUGAGCUGGAUCUAUGCCUCUAUUCAUGAGUCUAUGCUUGGCCAACUUGUCAGCUACACCACUGCAUCUCAGAUCUGACUGGCUCUUGAGCAGAUCUACUCAUCUGCUGCCUUUUCUCGCAUCUCUGAGCUUCGCACCAAGCUCCAAACCAUCAAGAAAGAUGGCCUCACAGCCAUGGCAUAUAUCCAACAGUUUCGCACGGCCUGCAACACUUUGGCCUCUGUUGGUGAACCUGUUCCUCACCAAGAUCAGCUUCUUUAUUUUUUGCAGGGCCUGGGUCGUGAGUACAACUCCUUCAUCGACUCCAUUCACAUUCGGGUCCCCAAACCUUCUGUGGAAGAAUUGUUUAUCCUCUUCUUAACUUGUGACACUCGUUUAGAACGCCAGCUUGCUACUGAUUCCCUGAGCUUCCUUCAAGCCAAUAUGGCUCAUCUGCCAAACCAACAAAAAACGCCCAAAACCUCUCAUCCUACACGGUUCUCUCCUUUUAGAGCUCACACUCGACCAACACAAUUACCCUCGUCCUUCCCUUGAGCCCCCUACAUCGCGUUGCCCUUCCUCUCCCACUCGCUCUUCUCCCAAACACUCAUAUUGACCCUGUUGCCAAAUCUGCCUCAAGCCUGGUCACACAGCCAAUAUUUGUUAUCACCGUGGCAAUUUUCAGUACCACCCAACCAGCCUCCCCCCAGAAACUUCAACACUACUACCUCUCCCAACCCUACACCUUCAUUUCCACCUCCCUCCACAACUGCAACACCUUCCUCCAUGUCUGACCCACACUGGUACAUGGACUCCAGUGCGUCACAUCACUUCAUACCCGAUCUUAACAUGCUUGACUCUGCAUCUCCUUAUCAUGGGCAUGAUCAGGUAACUGUUGGUAAUGGUAACCCGUCAGAUCCUUCUCAAGGGUCUUCUUGACCAGCUUUGUAUCGCAUUUGUUCUCCCUCCUCCAUCUCUGCUCCUUCCUCUCCUCAAAUUGAUCUUGUCGUUCGCAAUCCUUCGACUUUGUGGCACUACCGUCUGGGGCACCCUUCCAAAGAUGUUGUCUCUUUUUUAAUAUCAUCUUGUAAUCUUUCUUCUGUUAAGCCUCCUUGAAUGGAUUUUUGCUCCUCUUGUCAAUUAGCAAAAUCUCAAAGGCUACCAUUUUCUAAUUCUGUAACUCGGGCUUCUAGUCCCUUUGCUUUAGUUCAUACUGAUUUGUGGGGGCCUUCCCCAGUACCAUCUGUUACUGGUGUUAAGUAUUUUGUUUUGUUUAUUGACGACUAUUCUAGGUUUAGUUGGUUUUAUUUGCUUAAAUUAAAAGAUGAGGCUGUUGGAUUAGCUUAUACAUGAUCUUUAUUUAUUUUCAUGUAUAUAUAAUAUUAAACAAAUUAA
Long non-coding RNA from Humulus lupulus (European hop), 2498 nucleotides. RefSeq lists it as uncharacterized. The record is from RefSeq and is a predicted model, not a curated record. The transcript is spliced from 2 exons. Lineage: Eukaryota; Viridiplantae; Streptophyta; Magnoliopsida; Rosales; Cannabaceae.